This 421-nucleotide ribosomal RNA is filed under the name Nicotiana attenuata. Its description in RNAcentral is "rRNA LSU_rRNA_eukarya". It matches the Rfam family "Bacterial large subunit ribosomal RNA", at positions 184 to 618 of the family's 2925-position model. Lineage: Eukaryota; Viridiplantae; Streptophyta; Magnoliopsida; Solanales; Solanaceae. The record is from RNAcentral.
CCUGGUGAACUGAAACAUCUUAGUAGCCAGAGGAAAAGAAAGCAAAACUGAUUCCCGUUGUAGCGGCGAGCGAAAUGGGAGCAGCCUAAACCGUGAAAAUGGGAUUAUGGGAGAGCAAUACAAGCGUCGUGCUGCUAGGAGAAACAUCCCGAAUGCUGUACCCUACAUGGCAAAAGUUCCGUAGCUGAAAGCAUCACUAGAUUAUGCUCUGACCCGAGUAGCAUGGGGCACGUGGAAUCCCGUGUGAAUCAGCAAAGACCACCUUGCAAGGCUAAAUACUCUUGGGUGACCGAUAGCAAAGUAGUACCGUGAGGGAAGGGUGAAAGGAACCUCCAUCGGGGAGUGAAAUAGAACAUGAAAUCGUAAGCUCCCAAGUAGUGGGAGGAGCUAGGGCUCUGACUGCGUGCCUAUUGAAGAAUGA